GGGUCGCCUGACUAGGCGUGGGGCCUACUUUGGGAGCAGGAGACCGCAGGUUCGAGUCCUGUCGCCCCG
Molecule: transfer RNA, 69 nt
Filed under: Cutibacterium avidum
Lineage: Bacteria; Bacillati; Actinomycetota; Actinomycetes; Propionibacteriales; Propionibacteriaceae
Description: tRNA-Pro
Source: RNAcentral